AAAGAUGGYUUCGGCUAUCACUUUUGGAUGGYCCCGCGGCGWAUUAGCUAGAUGGUGAGGUAACGGCUCACCAUGGCAAUGAUACGUAGCCGACCUGAGAGGGUAAUCGGCCACAUUGGGACUGAGACACGGCCCAAACUCCUACGGGAGGCAGCAGUAGGRAAUCUUCCACAAUGGACGAAAGUCUGAUGGAGCAACGCCKCGUGAGUSAAGAAGGUUUCGGCUCGUAAAACUCUGUUGUUAAAGAAGAWCAUAUCUGAGAGUAACUGUUCWRGUAUUGACGGUAUUUAACCAGAAAGCCACGSCUMACUACGUGCCAGCCGYCGCGGUAAUWCGGUCAUAGCUGUUUCC
This 351-nucleotide ribosomal RNA is filed under the name Lactiplantibacillus plantarum. Its description in RNAcentral is "Lactobacillus plantarum partial 16S ribosomal RNA". It matches the Rfam family "Bacterial small subunit ribosomal RNA", at positions 202 to 535 of the family's 1533-position model. Lineage: Bacteria; Bacillati; Bacillota; Bacilli; Lactobacillales; Lactobacillaceae. The record is from RNAcentral.